AACGCUGGCGGCGUGCCUAAUACAUGCAAGUCGAGCGAAUGGAUUGAGAGCUUGCUCUCAAGAAGUUAGCGGCGGACGGGUGAGUAACACGUGGGUAACCUGCCCAUAAGACUGGGAUAACUCCGGGAAACCGGGGCUAAUACCGGAUAACAUUUUGAACUGCAUGGUUCGAAAUUGAAAGGCGGCUUCCGGCUUGUCACUUAUGGAUGGACCCGCGUCGCAUUAGCUAGUUGGUGAGGUAACGGCUCACCAAGGCAACGAUGCGUAGCCGACCUGAGAGGGUGAUCGGCCACACUUGGGACUUGAGACACGGCCCAGACUCCUACGGGAGGCAGCAGUAGGGAAUCUUCCGCAAUGGACGAAAGUCUGACGGAGCAACGCCGCGUGAGUGAUGAAGGCUUUCGGGUCGUAAAACUCUGUUGUUAGGGAAGAACAAGUGCUAGUUGAAUAAGCUGGCACCUUGACGGUACCUAACCAGAAAGCCACGGCUAACUACGUGCCAGCAGCCGCGGUAAUACCGUAGGUGGCAAGCGUUAUCCGGAAUUAUUGGGCGUAAAGCGCGCCCAGGUGGUUCUUAAGUCUGAUGUGAAAGCCCACGGCUCACCCGUGGAGGGUCAUUGGAACUGGGAGACUUGAGUGCAGAAGAGAAAGUGGAAUUCCAUGUGUAGCGGUGAAAUGCGUAGAGAUAUGGGGAACCAGUGGCGAGCGACUUUCUGGUCUUUAACUGA
This 728-nucleotide ribosomal RNA is filed under the name Bacillus thuringiensis. RNAcentral's name for it is "bacterial SSU rRNA". It matches the Rfam family "Bacterial small subunit ribosomal RNA", at positions 32 to 743 of the family's 1533-position model. Lineage: Bacteria; Bacillati; Bacillota; Bacilli; Caryophanales; Bacillaceae. The record is from RNAcentral.